UACGUAGGGGGCUAGCGUUGUCCGGAUUUAUUGGGCGUAAAGAGCGUGUAGGCGGCCAGGUAGGUCUGCUGUGAAAACUCGAGGCUCAACCUCGAGACGUCGGCGGAAACCAUCUGGCUAGAGUCCGGAAGAGGAGAGUGGAAUUCCUGGUGUAGCGGUGAAAUGCGCAGAGAUCAGGAGGAACACCGGUGGCGAAGGCGGCCUACUGGGCCAGCACUGACGCUGAGGCGCGAAAGCUAGGGGAGCAAACGGG
Molecule: ribosomal RNA, 253 nt
Filed under: uncultured bacterium
Lineage: Bacteria
Description: partial 16S ribosomal RNA
Rfam family: Bacterial small subunit ribosomal RNA
Source: RNAcentral